RNAcentral lists this unclassified non-coding RNA (231 nucleotides) under Hevea brasiliensis (rubber tree). The record is from RNAcentral. Lineage: Eukaryota; Viridiplantae; Streptophyta; Magnoliopsida; Malpighiales; Euphorbiaceae.
AAUCCAGGGUAUCUGGUAUGCCCAGCUUGAAUCAUAGACAGAUCUUAGACUUUGUGGAUCAUUUCUUCGUUUUUGAUUUUGUUAUAAGUUACUACAAGGUUUCAACUUUCUAUGACCCAAUUGGAUAAGUAAUGAGACAACUAUCUUCCUGUAUAUUAUCAAGUAUAAGUAAUAAUCCAUUAACAUACUGAGUUGCAAAAUGCUGAUAUGUACUUAGAUUUGCUAAGCGUU